CUGCUGCCUUCCGUAGGAGUUUGGGCCGUGUCUCAGUCCCAAUGUGGCCGUUCACCCUCUCAGGCCGGCUAC
Molecule: ribosomal RNA, 72 nt
Filed under: uncultured bacterium
Lineage: Bacteria
Description: partial 16S ribosomal RNA
Source: RNAcentral